Molecule: long non-coding RNA, 532 nt
Filed under: Trifolium pratense (red clover)
Lineage: Eukaryota; Viridiplantae; Streptophyta; Magnoliopsida; Fabales; Fabaceae
Description: long non-coding RNA (TPRA_LNC011093)
Source: RNAcentral
ACAAGAUUAUUGAACUUUGAAGUUGAUAAAGCUUUAGUAAGAAACUGUUCUUCAAUUCUCAACAACGAAUGUUUGUAGAUAAUGUCAACGUUUGUUUUUUCAAUAUCUUUUAUCAAUGGAUUAUAUUGAGUGCAGAUUUUGAUAAUAUAGAUCGUAUUGUGUAGGAUUUUGGUAAUUGACGUUUCUGCAUAAUUUUGUUUGAAACCGUGUCUGGUAUUUGAGCUGUAGCCGUCAAACCGUAACUCCGUUUUGAAUAAUAUUUACAUGUCUGGAAAACUGACGAAAUUAUCUUCGAUUGAGUACCAAUUUUGUAAUUUCUGGAUUUAUAAUGAAGUCUGGGGAUGUGUUUGAAUCUAGGGUACUGAUGCUGUCAAAUUGCUGUUUUUGGACUGCGGGUUUUACGUGCUCAAGCUACGCGAACGGAUCAUUAAGAGCAUACUGAACAGCUCGGAAAUGUUGGAAUCGGAGGUGGGUUCCUUUAGAUAAACUCUCACUUAAUAGAGUAGUCUUAUUAGUUUUCCCCAAAAUCCAA